AAAGUGUAACAAGUCUCCGUAGGUGACCUGCGGAGGGAUCAUUAAG
RNAcentral lists this ribosomal RNA (46 nucleotides) under Ascomycota sp. Js_6757. RNAcentral describes it as "partial 18S ribosomal RNA". The record is from RNAcentral. Lineage: Eukaryota; Fungi; Ascomycota.